AUACGAAAGACUCUCGGCAACGGAUAUCUUGGCUCUUGCAUCGAUGAAGAACGUAGCGAAAUGCGAUACUUGGUGUGAAUUGCAGAAUCCCGUGAACCAUCGAGUCUUUGAACGCAAGUUGCGCCCGAAGCCAUUAGGUUGAGGGCAUGCCUGCCUGGGUGUUGCAC
RNAcentral lists this ribosomal RNA (167 nucleotides) under Argyrolobium lunare. RNAcentral describes it as "5.8S ribosomal RNA". It matches the Rfam family "5.8S ribosomal RNA". From Rfam's summary of the family: 5.8S ribosomal RNA (5.8S rRNA) is a component of the large subunit of the eukaryotic ribosome. It is transcribed by RNA polymerase I as part of the 45S precursor that also contains 18S and 28S rRNA. Functionally, it is thought that 5.8S rRNA may be involved in ribosome translocation. Lineage: Eukaryota; Viridiplantae; Streptophyta; Magnoliopsida; Fabales; Fabaceae. The record is from RNAcentral.